GGAUACGGCCAAAUCUUCCGCAUCGCGUCGGACCUCAGAAGCUCAGCAGAGUUUUCCCGGUUAGCACUUGGAUGGGAGACUGCCUGGGACACCAGAUGUCAUUUGCC
This 107-nucleotide ribosomal RNA is filed under the name Petromyzon marinus (sea lamprey). Lineage: Eukaryota; Metazoa; Chordata; Hyperoartia; Petromyzontiformes; Petromyzontidae. The record is from RNAcentral.